This 311-nucleotide ribosomal RNA is filed under the name Ophisops elegans (snake-eyed lizard). Its description in RNAcentral is "partial 16S ribosomal RNA". It matches the Rfam family "Bacterial large subunit ribosomal RNA", at positions 2079 to 2565 of the family's 2925-position model. Lineage: Eukaryota; Metazoa; Chordata; Lepidosauria; Squamata; Lacertidae. The record is from RNAcentral.
UCCAAAAGCUGAAAUAUAAACACCAGACGAGAAGACCCUGUGGAGCUUCCAAACCAAUACCAACGCCUAUGGUUAUACGGUUUUUAGUUGGGGCGACUUCGGAGAACAAAAAAACCUCCAACUAGGAAACUUUCCUGAUUAAGAUCUACACAUCUAAAUAUUUAACUUGACCCAGUAGGCAUUACCCCCAUCUGAUCAAGGAACCAAGUUACCCCAGGGAUAACAGCGCUAUCCUCUUCUAGAGUCCCUAUCGACAAGAGGGCUUACGACCUCGAUGUUGGAUCAGGACACCCCAAUAGUGCAACCGCUAU